AUGAGGAGAAAAGGCUUUGGCCACAAGGGCUGCACUUGGAUCUCGAUCCUUCUCAAAACGGCUAGCACAAGGGUGAUUGUUAAUGGAGUUCCUGGCAGAAGUUUCACCCAUGCCAAGGGCCUUAGGCAGGGUGACCCGGUUUCGCCUUUGCUCUUCGUGAUCGCCAUGGAUGUGCUUUCUAGAAUCAUGAUCAAGACCGAGAGUUAUGGUGUUAGCAGUAGCUUCACUGGCAUCGAUGCACACCAAUCAGUGUCGAUCUAUGCGGAUGACGUGGCGUUGUUCGUCAAACCCAGGGUGCUGGACCUUACGUUCGUCAGAUCCGUGCUACACACUUUUGGUGCUGCUUCUGGCCUGUGGGUCAACUAUCAGAAGUCGCUAGACAUCAUGAUCCACGAGAACAACGAGGACCGGGAACGGGUCGAGUCCAUUUUGCGUUGCCGGAUGGGGAGUUUCCCAUGUAAGUACCUUGGCCUCUAA
RNAcentral lists this ribosomal RNA (477 nucleotides) under Triticum aestivum (bread wheat). RNAcentral's name for it is "partial small subunit ribosomal RNA". The record is from RNAcentral. Lineage: Eukaryota; Viridiplantae; Streptophyta; Magnoliopsida; Poales; Poaceae.